Papaver somniferum (opium poppy) is the source of this 1386-nucleotide long non-coding RNA. RefSeq lists it as uncharacterized. The transcript is spliced from 2 exons. The record is from RefSeq and is a predicted model, not a curated record. Lineage: Eukaryota; Viridiplantae; Streptophyta; Magnoliopsida; Ranunculales; Papaveraceae.
AGAGAAAUCUGUUUUCUCUUAUCCCAUUCUCCAAUCUUCUUUUUCUUUAUAUUUCUUUGUUUGUCUUCUCUUUCUUCUCUAUGUCCUGUUCUUCGACUGUGAGAGAUUUAUGAUACGAGAGAAUCAUUUGUUGAACCUAUCUAGUAGAUAAUGAAGAUGGCGUGAUUGUACUUUAUGGAGAAGAUCAAUUGAAAAUUGAUUUAGUUUCGAGAUAACCUGAGAAGAACGAGUUGAAGGUUUGUUGUUUCUUUGGAGAUUAAGUGAGGUUGAUGAUAGAAUCGAUCAUUUUAUGAUGGAUUUUGUUUAUUUAAGAAAAGGGAGAAGAAUUAGAUGUUGAUUCAGGAAUUUUAGUGAAGAACUGAAGAGCUAGGGUUUCUAUGUUGAAUCUGAAGUUGGGUUCAUCUGAUUUUGAGACUAUUUGGAGUCGGAUAGGCAUGCUGUGUUGAUGAUUCAUGAAGGAUAGAAGGGGUGGUUGUUGAAUCAAAGUUCUGAAGUCGUCUUAAUGAUAAAUUGAGGAAUCAGGAUUUCUCAGAAGAUUGAAUAGGAGGUCUAUUAUUGAUGAAUAAGAUGAAAUUAGAGAUGGGUUGGACCCGAAAUAGGUUACGAAGUUGAAUAAUAUCAUGAGUUCGAUAGUUAGGGUUUGAAGUUUUGAAUCAGAGGUUGAAUUGAAACUGAUAAAGGACUCGGAUUUGAUUCUUGUGUUAAGAAUGUGAUGGGUUUAUUACUAAUGUUAAAUCAAACUCGGGAAGAAUGAAAGGAUUUCUGUGAAUUUAAUUGGGAAUGGAAUUCUAUGAAUAAGGAUGUUUGGGUAAGUGAUCUGUAUUGGGGUUGAGAUGUCAUUGAUGUUGCUGAGACAGGUGGUGGUGUUGAUUGAGAGUAGGUUAUGUUAAAUUGGGUUGUAGUUGAAGUUGAAUUGAGGGGGAUGUAUUGGUCUAUAAUGAACUGAAUGAUAAUAGUGGAAUUGAGGAUAUUGAAUUUGAAGAACAUAGAGUUGUUGAUGCUGUUUGGUUUCAAAUAGGUUCAAGUAUAUGAUGAAUGUUUAGGAUGUUAUUAUGGUGAGAAUGAGUUCUGCUGAGUGUUAAAGCAUUGAACUGAGAUGGGAAUUGAAUUGGAUUGAAGCAGUUCAUUUCUUAGCGGCAGUUGUGAGGAUUUUGGAGUUACAAGUGUACCUCAGUGAGAAGAAUGGUCUUACAGCUGAGGGUGUUGUGUAUGGAGAUGGAUGAAUUUUAUUGUUGUUGUUGUUGUUGUUGUUUAGAGUUGGAGUUGUAGUUAGUGUUUGCUGUGAAAGAUUGGAACUGCAAUUGCAGGUAGACAUAGUCUUUGUUUGUAAAUAGAAUUUGAAGUUUGUUUACUUUAUUUUGAAUUGAUGUUGAAAUAUAAAAUUGG